RNAcentral lists this long non-coding RNA (510 nucleotides) under Dasypus novemcinctus (nine-banded armadillo). Its description in RNAcentral is "lncRNA (ENSDNOG00000052456.1)". The record is from RNAcentral. Lineage: Eukaryota; Metazoa; Chordata; Mammalia; Cingulata; Dasypodidae.
CCUGCCAAGGCCUGUGGGCAGAUGCGGGCCUCCCUCCGCUGGGGAAGCAGAGGAGACGCGCGGGCUGCCCGCCAGCGGCACGCUCGCCCCGAGGAAGACGACCCCCGGUCCGGCUCAGCACCAGCCACAGACGUGCUUGCCCGUGCCUGGGCGCCCGGCGCCACGGUUCUCUUUCCAGCCUGUGGCCGGUCUUCUUUCACGCUCCUCUGGACGCUUCAUCUUGUCUGGGAUUCAGAAAUGUUACCUUGGCUAUUUCAGUGAACAUCGUUGAAGCAUCUCAGUCAACAGAAAGAGAGAUGACUAAGACACACCACGUGACGGUGAGGAGUUUACAGCCCCGUGGGAAAAGGUAUGAACCUCUCUGAGCCUCACGUACAGAAGUUAAUCACUGUAGCUACAUCUCUGAGUGGGUUUUUUGUUUGUUUGUUUUUAGGAGGUACUGGUUAUCGAACCUGGGACCUCGUACAUGGGAAGCAGACACCCACCACUUGAGCUACAUCUGCUUCCCUC